CCUACGGGUGGCAGCAGUGGGGAAUCUUGCGCAAUGGGGGCAACCCUGACGCAGCGACGCCGCGUGAGUGAUGAAGGCCUUCGGGUUGUAAAGCUCUGUGAGGCGAGUUGCGGUAUCCCUUUAGCAAGCACCGGCUAACUCUGUGCCAGCAGCCGCGGUAAGACAGAGGGUGCAAACGUUGUUCGGAAUUACUGGGCGUAAAGCGCGUGUAGGCUGCUCCGCAUGUCAGGUGUGAAAGCCCUGGGCUCAACCUAGGAAGUGCACUUGAAACGGCGGAGCUUGAGUGUUGGAGAGGGAAGCGGAAUUCUCGGUGUAGAGGUGAAAUUCGUAGAUAUCGAGAGGAACACCGGUGGCGAAGGCGGCUUCCUGGCACUACUGACGCUGAGACGCGAAAGCGUGGGGAGCAAACAGGAUUAGAUACCCCAGUAGUC
RNAcentral lists this ribosomal RNA (431 nucleotides) under uncultured bacterium. Its description in RNAcentral is "partial 16S ribosomal RNA". It matches the Rfam family "Bacterial small subunit ribosomal RNA", at positions 338 to 795 of the family's 1533-position model. The record is from RNAcentral.